RNAcentral lists this non-coding RNA (129 nucleotides) under Flavobacteriaceae bacterium. RNAcentral's name for it is "SAM-I sequence". It matches the Rfam family "SAM riboswitch aptamer (S box leader)". From Rfam's summary of the family: The SAM riboswitch is found upstream of a number of genes which code for proteins involved in methionine or cysteine biosynthesis in Gram-positive bacteria. The SAM riboswitch acts at the level of transcription termination control. Lineage: Bacteria; Pseudomonadati; Bacteroidota; Flavobacteriia; Flavobacteriales; Flavobacteriaceae. The record is from RNAcentral.
AAGUUAUCACGAAAGGCAGAGGGAUUAGACCCGUUGAAACCUUAGCAACCUCCUUUUUUAAAAAGAAAAGGUGCUACAUUCUACAAGAAAUUACUAAUUUUAAAUUGGUAUUUACUUGACAGAUAACAG